RNAcentral lists this ribosomal RNA (351 nucleotides) under uncultured bacterium. RNAcentral describes it as "bacterial SSU rRNA". It matches the Rfam family "Bacterial small subunit ribosomal RNA", at positions 917 to 1267 of the family's 1533-position model. The record is from RNAcentral.
GGGCCCGCACAAGCGGUGGAGUAUGUGGUUUAAUUCGAUGCAACGCGAAGAACCUUACCAGGGUUUGACAUCCUGCGAAUCUCUUGGAAACGAGGAGAGUGCCUUCGGGAGCGCAGUGACAGGUGGUGCAUGGCUGUCGUCAGCUCGUGUCGUGAGAUGUUCGGUUAAGUCCGGCAACGAGCGCAACCCUUACCCUUAUUUGCCAGCGGUUAGGCCGGGAACUAUAAGGGAACUGCCGGUAAUAAGCCGGAGGAAGGUGGGGACGACGUCAAGUCAUCAUGGCCCUUACGUGUAGGGCUACACACGUGCUACAAUGGGAGAUACAGACGGUUGCUAAAGCGCGAGCUGGAG